Molecule: ribosomal RNA, 856 nt
Filed under: uncultured bacterium
Lineage: Bacteria
Description: bacterial SSU rRNA
Rfam family: Bacterial small subunit ribosomal RNA
Source: RNAcentral
CAGAAGAGGACAGUGGAACUCCAUGUGUAGCGGUGGAAUGCGUAGAUAUAUGGAAGAACACCAGUGGCGAAGGCGGCUGUCUAGUCUGUAACUGACGCUGAGGCUCGAAAGCAUGGGUAGCGAACAGGAUUAGAUACCCUGGUAGUCCAUGCCGUAAACGAUGAGUGCUAGGUGUUGGAGGGUUUCCGCCCUUCAGUGCCGCAGCUAACGCAUUAAGCACUCCGCCUGGGGAGUACGACCGCAAGGUUGAAACUCAAAGGAAUUGACGGGGGCCCGCACAAGCGGUGGAGCAUGUGGUUUAAUUCGAAGCUACGCGAAGAACCUUACCAGGUCUUGACAUACUAUGCAAAUCCUAGAGAUAGGACGUUCCCUUCGGGGACAUGGAUACAGGUGGUGCAUGGUUGUCGUCAGCUCGUGUCGUGAGAUGUUGGGUUAAGUCCCGCAACGAGCGCAACCCUUAUUAUCAGUUGCCAGCAUUAAGUUGGGCACUCUGGUGAGACUGCCGGUGACAAACCGGAGGAAGGUGGGGAUGACGUCAAAUCAUCAUGCCCCUUAUGACCUGGGCUACACACGUGCUACAAUGGACGGUACAACGAGUUGCGAAGUCGUGAGGCUAAGCUAAUCUCUUAAAGCCGUUCUCAGUUCGGAUUGUAGGCUGCAACUCGCCUACAUGAAGUUGGAAUCGCUAGUAAUCGCGGAUCAGCAUGCCGCGGUGAAUACGUUCCCGGGCCUUGUACACACCGCCCGUCACACCAUGAGAGUUUGUAACACCCAAAGCCGGUGAGAUAACCUUCGGGAGUCAGCCGUCUAAGGUGGGACAGAUGAUUAGGGUGAAGUCGUAAACAAGGUAGCCGUA